RNAcentral lists this non-coding RNA (21 nucleotides) under Caenorhabditis elegans. The record is from RNAcentral. Lineage: Eukaryota; Metazoa; Nematoda; Chromadorea; Rhabditida; Rhabditidae.
UUUUCUAGCCCUCCGAUUUAA